RNAcentral lists this ribosomal RNA (253 nucleotides) under uncultured bacterium. RNAcentral's name for it is "partial 16S ribosomal RNA". It matches the Rfam family "Bacterial small subunit ribosomal RNA", at positions 524 to 776 of the family's 1533-position model. The record is from RNAcentral.
UACGUAGGGUGCAAGCGUUAAUCGGAAUUACUGGGCGUAAAGCGUGCGCAGGCGGUGAUGUAAGACAGAUGUGAAAUCCCCGGGCUCAACCUGGGAACUGCAUUUGUGACUGCAUCGCUGGAGUGCGGCAGAGGGGGAUGGAAUUCCGCGUGUAGCAGUGAAAUGCGUAGAUAUGCGGAGGAACACCGAUGGCGAAGGCAGCUUGCUGGGACGGUACUGACGCUGAGGCGCGAAAGCGUGGGGAGCAAACAGG